This 253-nucleotide ribosomal RNA is filed under the name uncultured bacterium. RNAcentral's name for it is "partial 16S ribosomal RNA". It matches the Rfam family "Bacterial small subunit ribosomal RNA", at positions 524 to 776 of the family's 1533-position model. The record is from RNAcentral.
UACAGAGGUCCCAAGCGUUGUUCGGAUUCACUGGGCGUAAAGGGUGCGUAGGCGGUCGGGUAAGUCUGACGUGAAAUCUUCAAGCUCAACUUAGAAACUGCGUCGGAUACUAUUCGGCUAGAGGAAUGGAGGGGAGACUGGAAUACUUGGUGUAGCAGUGAAAUGCGUAGAUAUCAAGUGGAACACCAGUGGCGAAGGCGAGUCUCUGGACAUUUCCUGACGCUGAGGCACGAAAGCCAGGGGAGCAAACGGG